Molecule: ribosomal RNA, 253 nt
Filed under: uncultured bacterium
Lineage: Bacteria
Description: partial 16S ribosomal RNA
Rfam family: Bacterial small subunit ribosomal RNA
Source: RNAcentral
UACGUAGGGUCCGAGCGUUGUCCGGAAUUACUGGGCGUAAAGAGCUCGUAGGUGGUUUGUCGCGUUGUUCGUGAAAACUCACAGCUCAACUGUGGGCGUGCGGGCGAUACGGGCAGACGUAGAGUACUGCAGGGGAGACUGGAAUUCCUGGUGUAGCGGUGGAAUGCGCAGAUAUCAGGAGGAACACCGGUGGCGAAGGCGGGUCUCUGGGCAGUAACUGACGCUGAGGAGCGAAAGCGUGGGAGCGAACAGG